GACGACCGCUGGCGGCGUGCUUAACACAUGCAAGUCGAACGGAAAGGCCCUGCUUGCAUGGUGCUCGAGUGGCGAACGGGUGAGUAACACGUGGGUGAUCUGCCCCUUUCUUUUGGAUAAGCCUGGGAAACUGGGUCUAAUACUGGGUAGGACCAUGCUGUAGGUGGUGUGGCGGAAAGCUUUUUUCGGUAAGGGAUAAGCUCGCGGCCUAUCAGCUUGUUGGUGGGGUAAUGGCCUACCAGGGCGUCGACGGGUCGCCGCCCGGGGAGGGUGGAGGGCCUAGUGGCGACGGGGGUAGGCCCAGGCCUCCACCGGAAGGCGCCGCGGGGGAUCAUUCGGGAUUGGGGGCACGCCGGAGGAGAGGCGAGCGCCGGGGGAUGACGGCCUUCGGGUUGUAAACGCCUUUCAGCCAUGACGAAGCCUCUUUUGGGGUGACGGUAGUGGUAGAAGAAGCACCGGCUAACUACGUG
Molecule: ribosomal RNA, 470 nt
Filed under: uncultured bacterium
Lineage: Bacteria
Description: partial 16S ribosomal RNA
Rfam family: Bacterial small subunit ribosomal RNA
Source: RNAcentral